Long non-coding RNA from Penaeus chinensis, 1422 nucleotides. RefSeq lists it as uncharacterized. NCBI's taxonomy places the organism in Eukaryota, Metazoa, Arthropoda, Malacostraca, Decapoda, Penaeidae. The transcript has 2 exons. The record is from RefSeq and is a predicted model, not a curated record.
GCGGGAACAGCGGGUCAGGCAGGUUCCCGGUACUGCGUCAAUGGCCUCAUGGCAGCGAUGUCGUCAUGCGGGGAGUGGUGAGCCGGCGAGGGUAGUGCCAGACGCCCGUGCUGAAGCCCACUGCCGACCUUGACUCUCGGAUCGCCACGUCGCUGCCCUCGCCGCCGAUCCCUGCCGCGUAAGUCUUGCUCGCCCUGUUAACGAGCCCAUCUCACGGACGUCCUCGCUGCCGCAUCACCUGCUGACGCCCUUCUGUUCUCUACUGCACGUCGCUGCAACUCCGGUCGUGUUCGCCGCCUCGUCUGCUGGUGACUGCCGCCUGACGUCCUCGCUGCAUCUCGUCUCAUUUACCACACCUGCUGCCCUGGUGACCCCGGCACGAAUGGGCAAGCCUUGCCUGUCGAACGUAACGCAAUCUUCCUCUCCCGAAAUGACGAAUCCUUUCCGCCAACGACGUGAUCCUGAUUCUUUCAAGACCUAGUUCUCACGGUUCUCCGCUCAAUCCUCGUUUCCAUCGCGAACAGCUUGUUCUAGAAUCUUGUAGACUGGUGUGCGUGUCAUUUACAAGUGAACUGUGUCUUCCAGCGAUCCUGUGGAACGGUUGACGAGCUCCGUGAAUGACCACUACUGCUGCUUCCGUCAAGACCACCUACGCUUCAGAACAGUGACCUGUGCGAACAAGCUCCCUAGGCCGCCGACCUUAGAAGUCAACUGUGCGACCUUCUUUGCUCCUCAAUUGCAAGGACCGAGACUCCUUGCAACACCGCCGUCGAGACUUCAUCUUCAGCACCACCCACCACAGCCAGGACGAUCCUGGUUAGGUGGCAAUAUAGUGACCUGUUCUCGUGAUCUCGCUCGCCUCACAUACCAGAAAAAAGAAACACAUGUUUCUUAUCUCACAGUAAUUCUAUUGUUAUCCCUUAUUGCUCGUAAACAAUACCCAUGCUGUUAUCCUGAUGUCUUUGUGUAUAAUUAUAUCUGGUUUGUACUCAAAAUGUUCAUUAGAAAAUGCUUAUCCUGAAUCACUAAGUAUGUUAUCGCUAUUAUUAUCUAUAUUCAAAUGUUUUUAUGUUUUAUGAGUACUCAGUAUUUCUGCCUCCUUGUCACGAAGCUGUUUAGUCUUGUCAACACCAUAACUCUCUUUUCACAUACAACAGUAUAUUAGGUACACCACGAAACCAUCAUGUGACCAUAGAUAUCUGAGUUUGUAUUAAUUCAGAUUAUUUCAUGUUUUCCAUUAUGAAAUGUUUAAAACAGAACGACCUGUAUCGACUGCUCAGAAAUUGUUCAUAGCAACUGAGUAUUAAACACAGGCCGCUCGCCCUUACGGGCAUGGCAAGACGCCCCAUUCCUCCCUGGGCGCCUCUGCCUUGCCUGUCCUCUGUAGGACCAAACUCCCGCAGUAAAAAAUAUAAAAAUUUC